AGUGAACGCUGGCGGUAGGCCUAACACAUGCAAGUCGAACGGCAGCACAGUAAGAGCUUGCUCUUACGGGUGGCGAGUGGCGGACGGGUGAGGUAUACAUCGGAAUCUACUUUUUCGUGGGGGAUAACGUAGGGAAACUUACGCUAAUACCGCAUACUACCUACGGGUGAAAGCAGGGGAUCUUCGGACCUUGCGCGAUUGAAUGAGCCGAUGUCGGAUUAGCUAGUUGGCGGGGUAAAGGCCCACCAAGGCGACGAUCCGUAGCUGGUCUGAGAGGAUGAUCAGCCACACUGGAACUGAGACACGGUCCAGACUCCUACGGGAGGCAGCAGUGGGGAAUAUUGGACAAUGGGCGCAAGCCUGAUCCAGCCAUACCGCGUGGGUGAAGAAGGCCUUCGGGUUGUAAAGCCCUUUUGUUGGGAAAGAAAAGCAGCAGGUUAAUACCCCGCUGUUCUGACGGUACCCAAAGAAUAAGCACCGGCUAACUUCGUG
RNAcentral lists this ribosomal RNA (492 nucleotides) under uncultured bacterium. Its description in RNAcentral is "partial 16S ribosomal RNA". It matches the Rfam family "Bacterial small subunit ribosomal RNA", at positions 29 to 507 of the family's 1533-position model. The record is from RNAcentral.